UGUAAUUAUAAGUAUUCAAGAAAAAUAUUAAAUAAUUUUCUUCUGCAUAUAUCAGCCAUCUUUCAAAACACUAAUAGCAUUAAAUAUUUAGAAACCUGUCGGUGCAAUAUUUGCCAAGUUAUCUUAAGUUAUAACUUUAAAUUUAUACUUUGACUUACUCCAAGAGUUUACUUGUUCCCAUUGCACAUUCUUCCUUGAUGUUCUAACAUGGCGUCAAAGUCAGGCAUGACCAUCGAUGGAAGCAUUUUCUAGCUCUGAGUGUUAGAAUCAGCUCUGAGAAUUAAAGGGAGGCAGAGGUUCCUAGGAUUGCAUUUCCUUCUUGUGCCCCUGACCCAUCCUCCAGGCUGAUUCAUGCCUUUAGAUUGGCUCUAGAGUCUUAAAAACUCAACACAAGAUGUGGUUAACCCACUGUUGUGGACCGAAUGUUCAUGUCCCUCCAAAAUUCAUAUGUUGAAGGCCUAUGAAGAUAGGGCCCUUGGGAGGUAUUUGGGUCUAGAUGAAGUCAUGAGGGUGGGAUCAUCACGAUGGGAAGAGUGCCCUAAUAAGGAGAUAUUAGACAACUUUCUCUCUCUCUUUCUCUCUCCCUCAUGUGAGCGAGAAGGAAGCUAUCCACAACCCAGGAAGAGAGCUCUCACCAAGAACCGAAUCUGCUAGCACUUUGGACUUCCCAGCCUUCAGAACGCAGUUGCUGGCAGUGCCCAUAAAUGGUGGUAAAAUCGUGGAAGCUCUUCUCAGGGGCUGGGAUGUAUUCAGGUGCCAUCAACCUUCUCAUCUCCAGCAGACCAGUCACCUAAAACUUGGAGACACAUAACCAUCUCAUAUACAAAGUGAUUUAAACUAGUUGGUGUCCCAGAGGCCAGAGAUGAUGUUUGUCUGCUUUACUGCUACACCUCUAGAGCCUAAGAUUCAAACUGAUAUAGUCACCAAUUAAUACAUAUUGACUACACGGAUGAAAAAGAGCGCGUGAGGAGAGGCCGCAC
This 980-nucleotide long non-coding RNA is filed under the name Equus caballus (horse). RNAcentral's name for it is "lncRNA (ENSECAG00000045646.1)". The record is from RNAcentral. Lineage: Eukaryota; Metazoa; Chordata; Mammalia; Perissodactyla; Equidae.